UUUAGCGUUACCGUUCCGUGUCUGUGAGGCCUCUGUUCGACGAUCUUUUACGCUGGCAAUAUCAGAAAACGAAUCCACACGCACACGCCAGAUACCCUGAAUCACCCACCCAGAAGAAUACGAAAGGCAGAAAAAAGGGCACCCACAAUGCUCAUUCAUGCUCCCCAUGCCUCAACUCCCUCUCCCACUUAUCUCACCCACCACCCUCGCCGCCUUAACCCCAUGUUUCCGCGCUCGGCUUCUUUGAACGUUUCUAUUGCGAAUGGAAUCAUGAAGACGAGGUGGAGGCGGGGAAUGUGUCGGCCAGUGGUAGUUUCUGCUGCUGAGGAGGGGAGCUCAAGCUUCAAGUCGGAUAGGAAAAGAGAAGUUGUGGAACACAUAUGUCUGCUUAAAGCAAAGGAGAAUUUAUCUGAGGAGGAAGAGAAGGAUAUGCUGGAUUUUCUUUAUACGACCCAAUAUCAAAUGCGUGGCAUUGUUGCAAUAUCAUUAGGACGUAUCUCAGAAGAAAAUAUCGAAAAUUACACCCAUGCUCUCUACAUGCGCUUCCAAAGAAAAGAAGACCUUGCAAAGUUCUAUGAGAACGUUUUCUACUUGGGAGUUCUCAAAGAGCAUGUUAUGCCUUACUGCCAUGGGUUAAUUAAUGUGGAUUUUGAAGCUGAAGUAGAAGAUGAUAUUCUAUCCAUAUUUCGGAAGGGAGAGGAAUUCAACUACGGUCUAGAGUUUGUGCUUUUGAUUUCAUUUGUUAGUGAUGCAAUUGGUGGAGCUGCUGAACAUGCAUUGGCUUCUCUUGCAAGGCUGACAAUUGGGUUUCCAUCCUUAAUUGUCCAAUCCACUCGAGGUCUCAAUUUAAAUCUCAGCAGUAAGGAAUAUACACAUGGAAUGGUGAUACGGUUUCGGUCGCUUGAGGCCUUUGGGAUAUUUAUGGGCAGCUCAGAAUACAAAGAUGUAAGGGGCCUAAAAUUUUCAAAUCAAGAGUCUUAUUUAAAUUCCUAUUCAAGCUGUCUUAGAUUUAUCUUGUUAAAGAGAUUAGGCUGCAAGACUCUUAAAUUAACUUUUGAUUGAGAAAACAGAUAUGGAGGUCUAAAUUCCAGCCAAUCACCCAGAAAAUACUCUCCAUUCAUUUUUCUAUAGAUCCAGUGGGCACUGAGAUCAUGUAGCGAGGAUACUUCACGGUUUCAAUUUUGGAAGGCAUUCUAGCCAGUUUGUUCAACUUUCUAGGAGUUGCAGGCCAGCUCUUCUUCCUCUUUCUUUAUUUUUUUUUUUUUUUUUUUUUUUUUUUUUUUUAGGCUGGGAGGUGGGUGGGUUAUUAUGAACUUAUGCUAAUGCUUCUUUCUGUAUUCUUUGCUUCCCAUUUCCCAUUUAUUGUUGUAGGUAUGUUUCACUAACCAAUGUCCCAUCUCACACUUGUAUGGUCGUGUUCUUCAAAGUUUAGGUACUCAUUUCUUGUUGCAUGUCUUUUCAACAAGGGGUCAUAUACAUUUAAAAAGUUGUUUCUUGCUUGUUGACUAUAUAACUGCACAGCGCACACAGUAUGUGCCAGGACAAAAACAUGAGUUUUGGUUGAAAGUCUGUCUCUCUUAUCCAAAAGGAAAAUGCCAUUCAUGUACUUUGCAUCAGGACCAGCUACUAGGUUCUUGAUCUGUCCUACAGAACCCUGGUAGGAAGCAACACAUUGGAUGAUACUUUGAAGCUAAUCAGUGCCAUUGUCGGAGAAUGGAGGAAAGGAAGUACCUUGGAAGAAAAUCUCUCCUCUCUACUUCUAGUUAUUUGUGGUAUAAUUUAGAGUUUGAGUCAUAUCAUGAGAUGAACAUUUCUGUACGAGGACCCCCAUUGAUUGAUCAUUCUGAUUUGUCCUCCAAGUACUUGCGUGCUAACUUGGUUUCUAUCUGAUACUCCAAUAAGCAUAAUAGAUUUUAUAUAGGCAGUUGCAUAUAUAAUGAACAGUGUCGUAUUCAUUCUUGAUCUUUACUCAAGGAGGUCACAACUUGCAUCA
This is an RNA transcript of Juglans regia (Persian walnut), 1993 nucleotides long. RefSeq lists it as uncharacterized. The record is from RefSeq and is a predicted model, not a curated record. Lineage: Eukaryota; Viridiplantae; Streptophyta; Magnoliopsida; Fagales; Juglandaceae. The transcript has 9 exons.